ACAUCAUUUAGAAAAUCUAAUUUUGAUGUAAUAUGAAUUGGAUCUAAUCCAUAUCACAAUAAUAACAUGAUGUUUGAUUGAAUCAAUCAAGGAUAGCUUUGAUGCCACUGUUGGAUUUUGGUGACGUAGUGGAAUAUGAUUUUUAAAAUUUUUUAUAUACAUUCAACUAUUGAAAAUAAGUUUUAACAAUUAAAAUAUGACUAUCGAAAUACAAACCCUAGGAACUCCUUAAUGAUUACAAACAAACAAUUCUAGCAUGCAUAUUAAUGAGGGAUUAGAAAUCAUAUACCAAAUAUGAAGAUGAGAAUCUGAUAAUAGAAAGAUCUCCGCAAGGCUCCAAAGUAGAAGCCCUCCAAUGGUGAUCCACAUGGGACAGAUCAGGGUCCUUUUCAAUUUGACGUAAUGCUGCAGCUUUCUUUGCAAGUUCACUGCAAAUCAUCCUUCUCAAGAAUGGGUUGCACCAUUGCCUAUAUGCCUUUGAAACCUCCACUAGGACCACACUAGAGAAC
This 509-nucleotide long non-coding RNA is filed under the name Elaeis guineensis (African oil palm). RNAcentral describes it as "long non-coding RNA (EGUI_LNC045272)". The record is from RNAcentral. Lineage: Eukaryota; Viridiplantae; Streptophyta; Magnoliopsida; Arecales; Arecaceae.